AUUAAACGCUGGCGGCAUGCCUUACACAUGCAAGUCGAACGGCAGCACGGGGGCAACCCUGGUGGCGAGUGGCGGACGGGUGAGUAAAGCAUCGGAACGUAUCCUGGAGUGGGGGGAUAACGUAGCGAAAGUUACGCUAAUACCGCAUAUUCUGUGAGCAGGAAAGCAGGGGAUCGCAAGACCUUGCGCUCUGGGAGCGGCCGAUGUCGGAUUAGCUAGUUGGUGGGGUAAAGGCCUACCAAGGCGACGAUCCGUAGCGGGUCUGAGAGGAUGAUCCGCCACACUGGGACUGAGACACGGCCCAGACUCCUACGGGAGGCAGCAGUGGGGAAUUUUGGGACAAUGGGCGGAAGCCUGAUCCAGCCAUGCCGCGUGAGUGAAGAAGGCC
RNAcentral lists this ribosomal RNA (388 nucleotides) under uncultured bacterium. Its description in RNAcentral is "bacterial SSU rRNA". It matches the Rfam family "Bacterial small subunit ribosomal RNA", at positions 29 to 416 of the family's 1533-position model. The record is from RNAcentral.